GACGAACGCUGGCGGCGUGCUUAACACAUGCAAGUCGAACGAAGUGGCGAACGGGUGAGUAAUACGUGGGUAACCUGCCCUCCUUUUUGGGAUAAGCCUUGGAAACGGGGUCUAAUACCGAAUAAAGGGGGAUGGGCUCGCGGCCUAUCAGCUUGUUGGUGGGGUGAUGGCCUACCAAGGCGGUGACGGGUAGCCGGCCUGAGAGGGUGACCGGGCACAGUGGGACUGUGAAACGGCCCAGACUCCUAACGGGGGCAGCAAGGGGGGGUAAUGGAAAAUGGGCGAAGGGCUAAGGCAGCGACGCCGCGAGGGGGGUGAAGGCUUUCGGGUUUUAAACCUCUUUCGCGAGCGAAAGGGUAGGUGGAGAAGAAGCGCCGGCUAACUACGUGCCAGCAGCCGCGGUAAUAC
RNAcentral lists this ribosomal RNA (408 nucleotides) under uncultured bacterium. Its description in RNAcentral is "partial 16S ribosomal RNA". It matches the Rfam family "Bacterial small subunit ribosomal RNA", at positions 28 to 526 of the family's 1533-position model. The record is from RNAcentral.